CACGUAGGGUGCGAGCGUUGUCCGGAAUUAUUGGGCGUAAAGAGCUCGUAGGCGGUCUGUUGCGUCUGCUGUGAAAACCCGGGGCUUAACCCCUGGCUUGCAGUGGAUACGGACAGACUAGAGGUAGGUAGGGGAGAAUGGAAUUCCCGGUGUAGCGGUGAAAUGCGCAGAUAUCGGGAGGAACACCGGUGGCGAAGGCGGUUCUCUGGGCCUUACCUGACGCUGAGGAGCGAAAGCGUGGGGAGCGAACAGG
RNAcentral lists this ribosomal RNA (253 nucleotides) under uncultured bacterium. RNAcentral's name for it is "partial 16S ribosomal RNA". It matches the Rfam family "Bacterial small subunit ribosomal RNA", at positions 524 to 776 of the family's 1533-position model. The record is from RNAcentral.